RNAcentral lists this ribosomal RNA (434 nucleotides) under uncultured bacterium. Its description in RNAcentral is "bacterial SSU rRNA". It matches the Rfam family "Bacterial small subunit ribosomal RNA", at positions 957 to 1391 of the family's 1533-position model. The record is from RNAcentral.
GAACGCGAAGAACCUUACCAGGUCUUGACAUUGAUGGACAGAACUAGAGAUAGUUCCUCUUCUUCGGAAGCCAGAAAACAGGUGGUGCACGGUUGUCGUCAGCUCGUGUCGUGAGAUGUUGGGUUAAGUCCCGCAACGAGCGCAACCCCUAUCUUAUGUUGCCAGCACUUCGGGUGGGAACUCAUGAGAGACUGCCGCAGACAAUGCGGAGGAAGGCGGGGAUGACGUCAAAUCAUCAUGCCCCUUAUGACCUGGGCUACACACGUACUACAAUGGGAGUUAAUAGACGGAAGCGAAACCGCGAGGUGGAGCAAACCCGAGAAACACUCUCUCAGUUCGGAUCGUAGGCUGCAACUCGCUACGUGAAGUCGGAAUCGCUAGUAAUCGCAGGUCAGCAUACUGCGGUGAAUACGUUCCCGGGUCUUGUACACACC